Long non-coding RNA from Phasianus colchicus (ring-necked pheasant), 847 nucleotides. The record is from Ensembl. NCBI's taxonomy places the organism in Eukaryota, Metazoa, Chordata, Aves, Galliformes, Phasianidae.
UUUUCCCUGUGCUAAAAUGGGGACUUUGAUUCACAGUAUGCACAGUCAUCACUUCUGGACCCACAUUUUUGGAAUAUCGGAGCAUCUCACUGAGGAAGGCUGAUUUGCUGAAGUGUCUCUGAAGCAUGGCAUUCAUCAGACCACACCAUCAUAGCAGGCAGAGCAGCUACACUCCAGGAGAACACAGAGGCAUGGAAUGAUAUGGACCAGCCAUAGUUUUACAUAUGAUCUGCAAGAUUACUUCUGUGGAAGCUCUGUGUGCAGAGAGAGCGAUACUCCAGAGAACUACUCAGCACAAUGACUAACGAUGUUCAUGCUAGCAGCCCUUUGAAGGACCAAUGAUGGAAGGAGGCAGUGACUGCACUACACAGAUUCCACUUCCAGCUUGUUCAAGAUAAGCUGCUUCACAGUGCACUGAAAUGCACUGUUUGGAGUUAAGCAAGAUCCAGUGUCAGAAAUUAUAGUUUCUUCAGAAUUUCUAUUGACAUCACCUGGUGCUGUUCUUCUGAAGCACGGAGUUUAACAAAGUGAGUGGAAACAUUUCCUAGGGCACAUUUCACUCCCUAGGUUAUAUGGCCUAGGAAAAAAAGUACAAUCUAAACAAAGUAAAAUCCACGAGGCUGUCACUUGGCUUUAUAUUUUUGCUUAGAUAGGAAAAAAAUCUGGAAAAUGAGUUGACACAAUUUUAUUAUUUGAUCUUUAACAGCUUGCCAUAUGGAAAAGCUUUAAAAUUUAACUGGAAAAUUUAACCCUUUUAAGAGUUUUAAAUAUUUUAACAGAAAAUGCACUUUGGUCAGUGUUUUUAUGCAGCAAAUUUUACAAAUAAAAGAGUUGUUACUAAAUUCCA